This 517-nucleotide ribosomal RNA is filed under the name uncultured bacterium. RNAcentral describes it as "bacterial SSU rRNA". It matches the Rfam family "Bacterial small subunit ribosomal RNA", at positions 355 to 863 of the family's 1533-position model. The record is from RNAcentral.
UGGGGAAUUUUGGACAAUGGGGGCAACCCUGAUCCAGCAAUGCCGCGUGAGUGAAGAAGGCCUUCGGGUUGUAAAGCUCUUUUGUCCGGGAAGAAAUCCUGUCUACUAAUACUGGACGGGGAUGACGGUACUGGAAGAAUAAGCACCGGCUAACUACGUGCCAGCAGCCGCGGUAAUACGUAGGGUGCGAGCGUUAAUCGGAAUUACUGGGCGUAAAGCGUGCGCAGGGCGGGUUUUCCAAGACAGAUGUGAAAUCCCCGGGCUCAACCUGGGAAUGGCAUUUGUGACUGGAAGGCUAGAGUGUGUCAGAGGGGGGUAGAAUUCCACGUGUAGCAGUGAAAUGCGUAGAGAUGUGGAGGAAUACCGAUGGCGAAGGCAGCCCCCUGGGAUAACACUGACGCUCAUGCACGAAAGCGUGGGGAGCAAACAGGAUUAGAUACCCUGGUAGUCCACGCCCUAAACGAUGUCUACUAGUUGUCGGGUCUUCAUUGACUUGGUAACGCAGCUAACGCGUGAA